GCAAUGAUGAAAUAUAUGAAACUGAACAAUACAGCUAUGAUAGUUAUUUUUUAACCCUCUAAGAAGUCCUGAGCUC
Molecule: small nucleolar RNA, 76 nt
Organism: Gigantopelta aegis
Lineage: Eukaryota; Metazoa; Mollusca; Gastropoda; Neomphalida; Peltospiridae
Product: small nucleolar RNA SNORD61
Exons: 1
Source: RefSeq, a predicted model, not a curated record